Molecule: non-coding RNA, 24 nt
Filed under: Arabidopsis thaliana (thale cress)
Lineage: Eukaryota; Viridiplantae; Streptophyta; Magnoliopsida; Brassicales; Brassicaceae
Source: RNAcentral
UAUAGAACAGUGAAGAUCAAAACC